Molecule: ribosomal RNA, 301 nt
Filed under: uncultured bacterium
Lineage: Bacteria
Description: partial 16S ribosomal RNA
Rfam family: Bacterial small subunit ribosomal RNA
Source: RNAcentral
CAGUCGCCACGGGAAUACGAAGGGUGCAAGCGUUACUCGGAAUUACUGGGCGUAAAGCGUGCGUAGGUGGUGGUUUAAGUCCGUUGUGAAAGCCCUGGGCUCAACCUGGGCAUUGCAGUGGAUACUGGAUCACUAGAGUGUGGUAGAGGAUAGUGGAAUUUCCGGUGUAGCAGUGAAAUGCGUAGAGAUCGGAAGGAACAUCUGUGGCGAAGGCGGCCAUCUGGGACAACACUGACGCUGAGGCACGAAAGCGUGGGGAGCAAACAGGAUUAGAUACCCGAGUAGUCCCUGUCUCUUAUAC